Molecule: long non-coding RNA, 884 nt
Organism: Erinaceus europaeus (western European hedgehog)
Lineage: Eukaryota; Metazoa; Chordata; Mammalia; Eulipotyphla; Erinaceidae
Exons: 2
Source: RefSeq, a predicted model, not a curated record
UUUGGGGGAGCAGAAGGUGGGAGGUCUGGCUUCUGUAACUGCUUCGCCACUGGACAUGGGUGUUGGCAGGUCGAUCCAGACCCCCAGCCUGUUUCUGUUUUUCCCCAGUGGGGCAGGGCUCUGGGGAGGGGAGGUUCCGAGAGUCACUGGUGAGGUAUCACAUUCUCUCUGCUGGGCGAACCACCUCCGGGGCCCUGUGCCAUUUGAAUCCUGCAGGCUCUGCCUUCAGUCAGGGCCUGUUUCUAAGCCUGUGACCUUCUCGAUGCUUCUUUGAUGCCUGCUUUCUGGACUCCAGGAGGCCUGGCACCCACGGGGCUCGCUAGUCCUUCCCCUCUGUGCUGGGAGCAUGUCCAGACCACUGCCAGUUCCCGUGCUUGUCUCAGUGAGUGAGCAGUGAGCCUUCGAGAAGCAGAUACCAGCACUGUGUACCCCAUGACCCAGCUCAGGUAGCAGGGUAUGAACUCUGUGGCUUACUCAGCCCCGUUGGGAACCCCGAUUAAUCAUUCACCGCACUUCUAAGCCACCCCGUUGACCUUGACCAAACUGGUAGGAAUUAGUCAGCGUCUGGCCUGGCUGAGCAGGACCGUGACGCAGAAAUCGCUUCUUGCUGAGAGCUUUACCCUGCCCGAGUGGGCAGCUGGCAUUCUGAGAGUUUUGGCCCUUGGCAGCCCAUGGUGCCAGUGGCUUGCUCACCGGAUUCACGGCCUUCUUGAGACCAGGAUGUCCCACAAGGUGAGCCACCGUCUGGUUCUGCUUGCUGGUGCUCCUACUUCAGGGCUGACCUGGCUUGGUUGAAGACGCCCUGAAGCCUCUUCCCUGCCACAGGAGGGUUAUUCUAAAGUCACUCUUCCUGCAAGACCUGAAUUGCUGGUUUUCCACUUUGC